Molecule: ribosomal RNA, 484 nt
Filed under: uncultured bacterium
Lineage: Bacteria
Description: partial 16S ribosomal RNA
Rfam family: Bacterial small subunit ribosomal RNA
Source: RNAcentral
AUUGAACGCUGGCGGUAGGCCUAACACAUGCAAGUCGAGCGGCUGCACGGUGAUUGCUCCUGCAUUCAGGUGCCGAGGGGUGAGUGAUGCCUAAAUACAUCCCUGUCUGUGGUUUAUAAGGUGCGAACGUGGGGACUCAUACCCCAUACGUGCUUAGGGAGUAAGUGUGAGAUCUUCGGACCUCCCGCUAUCACAUGAGCCGAUGUCGGAUUAGCUAGUUGGCGGGGUAAAGGCCUACCAAGGCGACGAUCCGUAGCUGGUCUGAGAGGAUGAUCAGCCACACUGGAACUGAGACACGGUCCAGACUCCUACGGGAGGCAGCAGUGGGGAAUAUUGGACAAUGGGCGCAAGCCUGAUCCAGCCAUACCGCGUGGGUGAAGAAGGCCUUCGGGUUGUAAAGCCCUUUUGUUGGGAAAGAAAAGCAGCAGGUUAAUACCCCGCUGUUCUGACGGUACCCAAAGAAUAAGCACCGGCUAACUUCGUG